AGGACUGCACUGCCCAGCUUGGCAGCCACAGCCUCACAUGACCACUGAGCACUUGAAAUGUAGUUAAUAUGCUAAGAAAGCCCAUUUAAAUUUUUAUUUUCAACUUACUUAAAUUCAAAGAGCCACAGGGGUCUAGUGGCUCCUGUAUUGACAGCACAGGGCCACCUUGUUAGUGGCAUCAUUUAUAACCCUGGGCAGCAUUGCUAUAGGAAUAGCCAUAUCCUGUAGGUCUAUAAUGCUGUAGAAAUGGAAUGUGUGGUGCGAAUGAAAUUUAAAAUUUAAGUAGCCACGGUGAAAAAAAAAGAGAAACAAGUAAAAUUCAUUUCAUAAUAUGCUUUAUCUCUAUUUCCAAAAUAUUAUCAUCUCAACAUGUAAGAAAUAUAAGAAGUAUUCAUGAGAUAUUUUACAUUCCUUUGUUCAUCAUAAGUGUUUGAGAUCCCAUGUGUGUCUGACACAGCACCUGACUUUGAACUCACCACAUUUCGAGUGCCCCAUAGCCCAUGUGGCCAUGGUUUAGAGAUUUCAGAAAGCAUUCAUGGAAAAUUCUCUUUCCUGAUCCUCAUUCACUAUCCUGGGAAGUGGCCAGAUAAGGAAGCAAGGCCCAGAAGGGCCCAGCCAGUGGCUCUCAGACUCCAGAGUCAUCGAGUCCCUCACUCGAGGGCAGGUUAACUCACAGAUGGCUGGCCCCCACCCUCUGCAUUUGCCAUCCAGCAGGUCUGGGUGGGUACCAGGAUGCGGAUUCGUAACAGGAGAGGCUGAUGCUGCCAGUCUGGGUCCACAUUUUGAGAAGCAUUCCUCCAAGGGUCCCACCCACGCUCAUACCCCAUGUCUGACAAUGCCUGCCAGGAUGGGCACUGAUGAAUAUGGUUGAACGGAACUCCAAGGACCACCCAGGUUGAUAGUAGUGAGUUUGUGUACAGAAGACUGCAAUGAAUUGAAGUCAUGAGACAUACAGCCAGGAUCCUGAAAGCCACCAACAUAUGUCACCUGCCUGGGAGGCUUGCUUCGAUGGUCAUCUUGUUCUGCCUGCUAAGACCAGGAGUCACAGCUGUUGACAUCAUGGUGAAUAAAAACAUUUUCUGCCACAGGUAGAAA
This is a long non-coding RNA of Homo sapiens (human), 1095 nucleotides long. Lineage: Eukaryota; Metazoa; Chordata; Mammalia; Primates; Hominidae. The record is from Ensembl.